AUUCCCCUAGUAACGGCGAGUGAAGCGGGAAGAGCUCAAAUUUGUAAUCUGGCACUUUCAGUGUCCGAGUUGUAAUCUCGAGAAGUGUUUUCCGCGCUGGACCGCAUACAAGUCUGUUGGAAUACAGCGUCAUAGUGGUGAGAACCCCGUAACUGAUGCGGAUGCCCAGUGCUUUGUGAUACACUUUCGAAGAGUCGAGUUGUUUGGGAAUGCAGCUCAAAUUGGGUGGUAAAUUCCAUCUAAAGCUAAAUAUUGGCGAGAGACCGAUAGCGAACAAGUACCGUGAGGGAAAGAUGAAAAGCACUUUGGAAAGAGAGUUAACAGUACGUGAAAUUGUUGGAAGGGAAACGCUUGAAGUCAGACUUGCUAUGUGGAUUUAUUCACUUCGCAGGCCAGCAUCAGUUUCUGGGGGUGGAAAAGGGUUUGGAGAAGGUAGCAACUCCGGUUGUGUUAUAGCUCCUUGCUGGAUUCAUCUUUGGGGACUGAGGAACGCAGCGCGCUUUUUGCAAGGCUCUCGAGCUUUUCGCGCUUAGGAUGCUGGUGGAAUGGCUUUAAACGACCCGUCUUGAAACACGGACCAAGGAGUCUAACAUGCUUGCGAGUGUUUGGGUGUCAAACCCGGACGCGCAAUGAAAGUGAAUGGAGGUGGGAUCCGCAAGGUGCACCAUCGACCGAUCUGGAUUUUCUAAGAUGGAUUUGAGUAAGAGCAAUUAUGUUGGGACCCGAAAGAUGGUGAACUAUGCCUGAAUAGGGCGAAGCCAGAGGAAACUCUGGUGGAGGCUCGUAGCGGUUCUGACGUGCAAAUCGAUCGUCAAAUUUGGGUAUAGGGGCGAAAGACUAAUCGAACCAUCUAGUAGCUGGUUCCUGCCGAAGUUUCCCUCAGGAUAGCAGAAACUCACAUCAGUUCUAUGAGGUAAAGCGAAUGAUUAGAGGCCUUGGGGUUGAAACAACCUUAACCUAUUCUCAAACUUUAAAUAUGUAGGAAGACCUUGCUACUUAAUUGAGCGAGGUCAUGCGAAGAG
This 1022-nucleotide ribosomal RNA is filed under the name Oberwinklerozyma sp. Its description in RNAcentral is "partial large subunit ribosomal RNA". It matches the Rfam family "Eukaryotic large subunit ribosomal RNA", at positions 74 to 1116 of the family's 3401-position model. Lineage: Eukaryota; Fungi; Basidiomycota; Microbotryomycetes; Chrysozymaceae. The record is from RNAcentral.